Molecule: long non-coding RNA, 598 nt
Organism: Tympanuchus pallidicinctus (lesser prairie-chicken)
Lineage: Eukaryota; Metazoa; Chordata; Aves; Galliformes; Phasianidae
Exons: 3
Source: RefSeq, a predicted model, not a curated record
UUCAGCACAUUGAAUGUCUCAACGGUCCGAGUUCCCUGGAGCUUUCAGUUCCCCUUUUUCCCUGCUCUGAAUUGCUUUGAGCCUCUCACUUGAAGUUCCCACCCCAUCCCUGUGCCGCAGGCACUGACACCAGCCCUGGCGCUGCUCAACUCCAUCCAGCUGCUUCUGGGAGGCUUGCAAGCAGCACCGGAGGUGCAGCUGUGUGCAGCUGUUGUGAGCAGGAGCCCAGCAGUGGCACUGUGCAGGACGGGGAACCCAAAGUGUUGAUGCUUCCAGCUGCUGUAGCAGUGCUCAUAGUGGGGUCAGCACUUACCCAGGCUGACGUCAGGCUGCAGAGAGCCACGGCUCUCAGCUCUGCAGCAUCCAACCCUGUCCAUCCAGCACUGAAGGAGAGGACGAGCCUGGACGUCCCUGAGCUGCAGAAGACACUGUUGUGAUGGAAAGUCCAUUGCCAGCUGGGAAAAUGCAGAGAGCAUUCAAAAAAGCCUCAAAAAUUAGUCAGCAAACCUGGGCUCUCUUAUGGAAAAACAUUCUGCUGGUGUGGAGGAAGAAAACAGAAAGCUUCCAGGCAAGUGUCUGUUCUUCCAAAGGAAAUUUA